CCUCCUAGUCCGCGCACACUCGGUGUGGUGCGGUCCGAUGUGGAACUCGAAGCGAUGUGGAAGGAGGCGGCGUGUGGCGCGGGGGCUUGGGGAGACUUUUAGUGCUCGCGUGUAGUAGGCGCGGCCGGUGGCGAGCGUAAGAAUGUUGUCGGUACCGGUGCCGUCGGAGCGGCGGCCGCCGUCGGAGGCGAGCCCGCAGCCGCUAGGCGAGGGCGCGACCGGCGGAGAGGGAGGGGCGCCGGGAGGGCCGCCUGCCGGCACCACUGUGACGGUGGUGGAUGUUCCUCGAGCCGAACAUGAGGACCUUUUCCUCCUAGCUUCUACGCCAAUAGGCCCACCUCAACAGACGUAGGUUACGUGACCUCUCCCUCCUUCGUGCCUCUUAGCUCGUACUUCUUCAUGACGUUUCGGUAUUGAACACCCUGUUAGGCCGGUUCAGUGUGCUCUGCGAGAGACGGGACAGACUACGGUAGUCUCGCCAACUAGUAGAGUUUCUGGAAGAUAUAUUCCACGAACGAAUAUCUACGUAUUACGACUUCUCCGAUUCGACUAUUCAGUUGAUCGUCCGUACCUACAGUAUUUGCCUCUCGAUAAAUUCGUUCGUAUACUAUAGAGAAACCUACGAUCACUCAAAGAUCUAGCAAUGGUCUACAUGCUCGAAGAAUUCCCAGGUAUACUGUUCCUUCCUCGAACAUAGUACCAGUGACGACCUAGUCUCCCACAGCGAAGUCUCGAUACCCGUCUCUUCGAUAAACUGUACAUAUGUUCAACCCGUGUUUCCGUUCCAACGUUUCUUCCUGACCAUCUCUUCUAGCGUAGUUGUUCACCAGUAUGGGUCAAACGUCGUUACCUCUAACUUAGUCUCAUGUACAAACCAUGGGAAAGACCUCUUUUUCCUUACGUGUCUUACUAGAUGAGAAGGCAACUUUUAAGACCGUGACCGUUCGAAGGUCCGCUAAAGUCGAUCUCAGCUAUAUUAAGGAGAGAAGAACCUAUCUGGCCAAUUAAAAGUGAACCUACUGUUACUAGACCUCUAAAGAGGCAAUGGGUCACUUAAAUUUUUAGCUCUGGCUUCUUUACCACGGUGACACUCUCAAGUCGUGUAUGGUUCGCCUCAAUGACGGCUUUCGAGUCCACUUUCUUCGAUAAAGCGUUUGUUCGAUUUUCGGCACUCGUCCGACUUUCGUUUCGAGGAGUAGUAUUGUUCUCUUGAUUCUCAUGGUUUGGGCUUCUACUAGCUCUUUGUUCGACACCUCCUUUCUACGUUGGCGCUCUGCUCUGCUAUGUACAAGCCCGGGGUCCUUAAGCAGGUACUAGAAUUGUGCCCGUAGGUCAACAGGCUGGAGUUGAGCCAGGACCUUCCGCUGUAGCUUGGCAAGUAGUCCCCAGCAUAACAAAGUUCUGUACCUACUGCUAUGCGUUCUUAAGCACACGUCAAGACAUUUAGGUAAAAACGACUAUGUCUAUAUCGAGUAAUGGCCUCUUAUUGAAGACAUUGUACCCAGUGUAAAGUUCGGUUUUUCCAUUUAUAUGGUCCAUAUCCUUUCUCGAAUGAGGUUCGGAGGCUGAGUACACGGCCUACGUCUACGAGAAAGGGACAGUUCGAACGCUCGCACCCGCGCGUGCCGCGCGGUUACGAGCAGCUUCCGGCGGCCCACGAACAGGACGUCGGGGGAGACGGCCAAGUCGCGCUGCGGCUCGCGGUAGUACCGCACCAGGACCGUCAGCUAGAAGCGGCCGCGCUCGUCCACGACCCCCUACACCGGUAUCACGACCGACGGCAGCCGGAGAUACAUGCCGUCCUUGCCGACACGCAUCUCCUGCCGGGGCUCGGUCAUGAGCCUGUCCGAGGAGGUCAAGAAGUGGACGAGCUGGUACACGCGGCCGUCGUGGGGAGCGGCCCGUCGCAACGUGUAGUACACCGACU
This 1927-nucleotide ribosomal RNA is filed under the name Triticum aestivum (bread wheat). RNAcentral describes it as "partial small subunit ribosomal RNA". Lineage: Eukaryota; Viridiplantae; Streptophyta; Magnoliopsida; Poales; Poaceae. The record is from RNAcentral.